Non-coding RNA from Cyanistes caeruleus (blue tit), 7860 nucleotides. The record is from RefSeq and is a predicted model, not a curated record. Lineage: Eukaryota; Metazoa; Chordata; Aves; Passeriformes; Paridae.
UAUAAUUGUUAAUUGUAGUAAAUGAAAUUUUGAUCACAGGUAACUACAGGUUGUUUCUAAGUGUAUUUGAAAAAACGGAGUCGGAUAAUCUGUGUAGGGGAUAUAAGAUGCUGCUGUUCUAACUGGAUACUGUUGAAACGCCGCCUGAAACAUGAGCAGUUCAGCACUGCAUUGUGAGUCUUGCCAAAAGAGUCAGCUGGAUAGCACUUCACUGCGGCCUUGUCUGUGUUUAAUGGAGCACAGUUUCAAAAACAGCAGCCAUCUCAGGGUACCUUGUAGUGGGACAAAAUGUCUUUUCACCAGCUGAUACAGUACAAUGUCAGCUUUAAGGUUUCUAUAUGGUUGCUUGGUUACUACUACUUUUUAAAAAAAAUUAGUUUACAAAAGCAGUUACUGUAACUAAAGUUACUCUUUUUUCCUUCUGUGGCUAAAGCAUUCUCUAAAUCAAGAAAGAAGCAACUGAAAGGAAACUGAAGAAAGCAGCUCUAUGCACAUGAGUGCAGAGUAAAUUAUUAUAUGGCAUUUUUUCUGCCUAUCUUAAAAUUAUAAACACUGAUUUAGCUUUACAAGAUCACUGACGCUGGUAAAUAUGCCCUUUUCACAGAAGAUAAUUGAAGAUUAAUUGUGAAAUAAGCCCUUUAGUCAGGAAGGGAGAUGAGGUGGUUAAUUGAUCCAGAAACAUAAGAACAGCAUUACUUUAGGGCAUAGGCACCAAAUUAAAACCUGGUUAUAAAGCCCUGCAAUUUAAUCCCAGUAAUGUAAACCUUCAUGUUUAUUGCUAAGUCAAUGUGCAAUAUAUGUAAGGAAGAAAAAAAAUUGUUCACCUUAUUUGUGGCAAAAUAUAGAUGUCUAAAUACUUAGUUUUGUGGGGAAGGGUGUGAAAUCUCAUUUUUCAUGGGCCUUUUUGGCAUUAAUAUUGCCAAAAUAUUGCCAAAUAAUACAUAAAAGGUGUAAAAGAAAAGAUCUCCUGCUUGUAGGAAGGGUUAGCCACAUACCACUUAAUCAGGCUGACUGUGUAGUCAGGGAAGGAAGAUCCCAAAAGUUUAAAUCUAAAUAUUACACGCUAUUGCAUUAUACAGCACAUUUAUUAAACAUGAAACCCCAAACCAAAAAUAACCAGAAAAUGGGACAUGUUCGUUUGUUCAUUCAUGUCAUCAUCAUUUUUUUAAACAGUGUGUAAAUGUUAUUUUUUGUCUGUGGGUUCACUGAUUAUUGUCAAUCUCAAAAUUGAUUUUUUGUCUUUUGUAUCUAAUGGUUCCACAAAGCCAUGACUUGUCUAAUCUAAAGCCUUGCAUUCCAUCUUGUGUUUCCAGAUUCCAGUCAAUCUUACUUUACUUAAGAAUUCUCAGCUUUACUUCACUGGAAUACUGUGUGCAGCUCUGCACAGCUGUAUUGAAGGUGUAUCUACUGGGAGUGGAACAGAUGAAGGAGAAGUCUUCCAAGGUCUCCAGAAGAGCACAGGACAUGAGCCACAGCUAGGAAAGAGUUUUAAUCUAAGCAUGUUGAACCUAGCCUUCAAGGCAGGCAGAAACAGAAUACUGGGAAAGACAUUUAAGCUGAGUAUGAGUGCUGGUGAGGAACUAUGUAUUCAUUUUGGUUUGCUUAUUCCCAGGCUGUCUCUGGUCCCCUCCCUGCUGUUGUGCAGCUAGUGUUUAUGUGGAUAUGUACAGAACCACAUCAGGAAACUCAUUCACUCAUUUCAUAGGGAAUCCUGCCUAUCUGCUUCUAACCUGGGGCACCAUUCUGAUUGAAUUUGCUGUGUUGGCACAACAGAAUGAUUAAUGAAAGUCCAGCUGCUGAAUGAUGCUGGACUAUAUUACAUAACUGAUACCCCACGUUCUUCCAGUUCUUAAGAUAUGAGGCAUCAGAAUUAAGGGCCAUGACUUCAUUCCAUCUUUCUGAAAGCAUGUAGAUCUUCACUCAAAAAUGCUAGAUGAGCCGUUCCAAAUAUAAACUAUCUAAUCUAGUAAAUUUUUUUUAAAUCUAAAUUCUUGAUUAUUGGCUGGUGCAGUUUUUCUGUGUGUAGGGUUUUGGGUUUUUUGUUGGUGUUGUUGCUUGGUUAGAGGCUUUUAGUUGAAGUCUGUAAUUGUUACUACCUGUAGUCUGGUGAAAGUUAGUGCCUCCUAAUUGUAUGUGAAUUAAACUUUUGUAUUACAUCCACACUAGGGGGCUGUGUUGCUUUAACAAUGUCUGUUUUGAGCAGUAAUGUACUAAGCAGAGCCCAAACAACUUGUAAGCAGUACUUUUCCCUACAUAAUAAAGUGAAUGGGAGCCGAAUAGUAAAGGGGGAUGACUUGCAAUUUAGACAAAUAUAGUAUAGGAGCAAAGAAACUUUAUUAUCUGUGUGCUUUGAUAAAAAAUUGAAAGGUUGAAGGAUGAAGUGAUGCUCUUGUUGUCAUGAGAUGAGUGGAAAGGCUGAGACCUGGUUACUUCAGUCAUGGCAUGACUCCUUACACCUAGGAUGCACUAACCCAGUUUGCUGGAACUGGGGACAGGCCUCAGGACAUUGACAUAGAGGUAUACUGGAGCUCAAGUGGAUGCAGUAUUGGAAAAUAAACUGAAGUCACCUCCUGUCACUGUAAAGCUGUUGGAGGUUGAGCAAGACUACCAGAGGUUAUGUGACAACAGCCAAAGGAGAGGAGCAACAUCUGGAGGUGAUCACACCUGGAAUGCCUGGUCCUGGGCUCCCCCUGCCAGAGUAGCAUGGACACACUGGAACAAGUCCAGAGAAGCACCACAAAGAUUAUCAGAGGACUGGAGCACCUCUUCUUAGAACUGAGAGAGCUGAGGCUGUUCAGCCUGAAGAAGAGGAGGCUGGGGCUGACCUUAUCAAGAUAUAUGAGUACCUCAUGGGGAGGUAAAGAAGAUGUGCCUCGUGACAGGACAUAAUGUAAUGUAAUGGGCACAAACUGAAAACCAGGAGUACUCAUUUAAACAUAAGAAAACCCUUUUUUCCUGUGUGGGAUUUUGAGAAAUUGGACAGGUUUCUCAGAGUGGUUGUGGAAUCUCCAUCUCUGAAGGAUAUCCAAUAUGCAACUUCACACUAUCUUCAUCAACCUACUCUAGCUCAUCAAGGGAGCUAGGCUAGCUCUUCUUCAGAGGUGUCUCUAGUCUUAGCCUUUCUAUGAUCCAGUAACUUUUCUAAACAUCCUCACAGUGGGAUUUAUCAUGCUUUCAAUUUAUCACUGUGAAAUUUUGAAGGGAAUUUUCUUGCUUGCAAGAAAAAGGGAUUCCCAGAUUGCCCUGUUAUCCUGAUCUGCUUUUCAGAUAUUCUGUAAGUGAUUCCUAAAUAUUUUUCUAAGGUAUCCCAAAUCCCUUUACCCACAGUAAGACUUUUUUUUUAGAAAAAGGGUCCACAAAGCCUUUGCAGAAAUGUGUGGGCCUCUUCUGCAUUUUUUGAAAUCGGCUAAAAUGCCUGGUUGGUUGGUGAUCUUGUUUUUUAUUCAGUCUCAAUAUUGAUAAGGUUCCAUGUAACAAUAACUUCACCAAGAGAUACUCAAUGAACUUAAAAAAAGUUUUUAAUAUAAAGGUUAUAUUAUCAAAUGGUGGUUUGAAAGAACUAAAUAGGAUUACGAAGAUUAUCCUUUUUUAACAAUGCCUUAAAUUUUUAUCUCCUUAUCUCUUUCUCAUUGCUCUCUCUCUCAAGACAUUAUGGUUUAUUGUGUCUCCACUAGGUACCUUGCAUAUGAUUUACACACUGAAUGAAUCUGCUUUCAGAGCAAGGUAAUGAUAUAAUAUCCCCAUUUAUAUUCAGAGCAGUCAACACUUUCUAUCUCUUUGAAUAAUAAAACCACCUGCAUUUAAUAUACAUGGAAAAAUGGGAAGGCAAAUAGCAGAUAUAGCACAAUCACAUAAGUGUAAUCAGAUAAAAUAUCACAAUAUUAGAGCAGAUCAGCAUCUGGUAAUGACUUGAAUUUUAAAAGACUGACAAACAGCAUGGUCUAAAGCAAUCAGGCAUACCUCAUUCAGAGCUACUUAUCCCAGAUUUGAUUGCUCCUCUCAUAUGUUUCUGGCAGAUUAAACAUUCAGGCUUUCUUAUUUUAACUCUUCCUGUGCUGUGCCUCUUUUGGUGGAAAACCACUUGUCUUUUACCUCUUUUUUUCCAGAGUGAGAAAGCAACAUCAAAUUAAAGGAGAGGAGGAAUGUGCCCUGCUGCCCUGGCUGGUUGUAGUAAAUAGAGCCAAGCCCUUCUGCAGUGAUCAUGCAGUCACACAUCCAUCUAUGUCCUCUGCAGCUGCUGCCAGGGCUUUGGGAUCCAUGAUAUGUAGUGGAGAACUACUAGAAACUGAAAGGACACUUCUUUUGUGUUUGGCAAUCUCUGGAUGAGUGACUUGUGGAAGACUUUAUUGGUGCAUUCAACUGCACUCAGUGGCACCCUGAUGCCCUUUAGGACAUCCUGCAGAUUCAGAAAUACAAACAAUACAAUUCAAGCAACAUCGAAGUAAAGGUGGUGCUCUAUAGGACUGGGAUAUUGCCUGUCCUCUAUUUCUAUGCAUCUGUCAAUUGCAAGUCUUUGCUGUUAAUGCAGGUGCUGGGGCAGGAGCCAAAAGUCAUGUUAGGAUGCAUGUUCUCCUCUCUUUCUCCUCCCUCUCCCUAUCCCAUCACCUAUCUCUAUUCCUUACCAUCUCCCUCUCUUUCACAGCUUGCUUUAAUGCAGGCAUCAGUGAUGAGGAGCUGCUUGAAUUUCUUAUUUCUGAUUUUGCAUCCCAGGCAGUGCUACUUCCAGGAAUCAUAUCACUUGCCUCACCUCUUGGGUAUGGGGAGCUCAUUUGCUUCUGAUUAAUGAGCUUGUGAUUGGACUUUGCAUAGAACAAAUUGAUUGACUGUGUCUCCAGAGUAUAUUGGGAGCCACAUGCUUUCCCCUGAACAAAAUGCUGUGCAAACCUUCUCCCCACCCCCUCUUUUCUUUUACAUCACAGGACUGUGCUUACUGUGGCAGCAGAAGACCUUUUGCUAUGGCUAAAACCAUGCAACAGUAGAGGCAUUCUUAUGAGGAAGAAAGGGAAUAUUCCACAGCUAUGUUUUUUCCCCUUUGACCACACCUGAGGUUAUGUAAUACCUCAGAUAUUUUGCAUGUAACUGUGAGAGAGAUUCUACAAUCAGAGAUCAGCGUUCUUUGUAAAUGUAAAACCUGAAAACAAAUGGUGCAAUUCCCCAUGUACAUGGUUAAUAGUAAGAUGCACCAAUUCUAGAAUAAAAGAUUUUGAAGAGGAGAUGUGCACCUUGGAGAGCAACAUCAUCCUAUUAAUGACAAGGCUUUUUUUAUAUUAGCACAGUUUAAGUGGUCAUUUUACUCAUUGCUCUUCAAUAACAUUGAGGCUUCUUUUCAUGAGAUGCAGUCUGAACACCAUUCUGUCUCCCAUGAGCUGGCACAUGUGAAAUAAGAGCCCAUGAUCCUCACCAAUAACUGCAGAACUAGAAAAUGACUGUUUCUUGUCCUUUCCUGCUUUCUGGGUUAAGGGUGAAGAAAAAGAGAUCUUAGACUCCCAUUUACAGCUUAGACCUAACAUAGCUCUUCCUGUAAAAGUCUUCCCCUAUGAUUCCCUCACCUUUUUAGAUGCAGCAUUUUGUUACCUGCUGCCUCCUGAAGAGUGAACAGACAGGGAGUGGGGAUGAGGCUUUACUGUCUUCCUUGGCUGAUGAUGUACUCUUACACCAUCAGAUAGAGAGAAAGGGAUAACAGAGCUGAACCAGUGAUCAGGAAGUUCAAAGACCUGGAACUCAUUAAACUCGAUUUAUCUUAUACAAACCCAAUUCAACUAGGGGAAAAAAAGAUAAACACUCAUGGAAGGUAUGACCAAAGUGCCACCACAAAAAAAUAGCAGAGCAAAGAAAAGAAGUUAAAAUGUUGUACUGCUUCCUGUCAUAUGUUUAAACUUUGUGAAACACAUAUAUAGACAUAUUUUUAACUUUUUUUUAAAAAAACAUGGAUUUCUUAAGUUUGGAGAAGGAUGCUCAAUGCAGUUCUCACAGUGAAUUCGCUGUCAGGACAGUAUAUUCUUGUACUGCUUCCUUACUGCAGUGGAUCAAUCACCAAAUACAUUAGGCAUCCAUUGUGUAAAAGAAAAAUAGAUGAAGGAGGAUUUGUCAUAAAUUCUUUCUUUGUAUUGGAAGACAUGUGGCACAGAGUUGAGAUAUAGUCUGUGUUUUCUUCUGCCUUCCAUCCCUUAAUGCUUCUGAUUCAAGUUUCAUUUUACACAUAUAUUUAUGAUAUUCCUUUGGUUUGCAGUGCUUGGUUACAAGGACUUUGUCUUUCACCUGUCAGUGCUGUUGACUGCAUUACACCUGCCCUGGACUGCAGGGGAAUCAGCUUUGGGGGGCCCAAUAUGAAGUUACUGCUGCGACUGGCCACAGCUUGUUCUUGGUACAAGAAUAUGUUACCAUUUUUAAAAACUUACAAAUACCAACCAGAACACUAAAUGUCUUUAGCCAUGGCCUACCAAAAUAAAGAGUAUGAAGCCCAGGCUGCAAUGGAAUAAGACACAAAUCUUUUACUUUUACACUGGAAAAAGUUCUAACUAGUGAAACAUACUGUAUUCAGAACAUUCACACUAUUUUUUGGUUUAAAGGAUGGAAAGGGAGUUGAAUAGAGUCAAACUCUACCAACAUUUUUUCUAUUUCUAAGGCAUAUAUGUCUAAUUUCUCCCCUUUCACAAGAUAUUUUUUCCCUGUACUCAGCACUAGUUAGACUGCACCUUAAAUACUCUGUGCAGUUCUGGGCCCCUCAAUGGAGGAUGGACAUUGAGAUGAUGGAACACACCCAGAGGAGGACAACAAGGCUGGUGAAGAGCCUGGAACAAAAGCCCGAUGAAGAACAGCUUUGGGAUUUGGGGUUUUUUAGUCUGGAGAAGAGAAGGCUCAGGGGAGACCUUAUCACUCUCUCCAGCUGCCUGAAAGGGGAUUGGAGAUUGUAGCCAGCUGAGGAUGGGCCUCUUCUCUCAGGCAACUUGUGAAAAGACAAGAGGACACAGUCUUAACUGCACCAGUUUAAGCUAGACAUUAGAAAAAAAAAAUCUUUACAGAAAGAGUCAUUAGGCAUUGGAAUGGGCUGCCCAGGGAAAUGGUGGAAUUACUGACUCUGGAGGUGAUUAAGAAAAGAACAAUGUAGCACUCAGUUCACAAGGUCAUGUUUAACAGUAGGCUGGACUUGAUGAUCUCCAAGGUCUUUUCCAACCUAGUGAAUUCUGUGGAUCUGUGACUUUCUCUUUUGCUUUUCCUUUAUAGGCUGAAAACAUUAAGUAUGUGUUUGGUUUGCCUCACAACUUGGGGCUAACUUUAGGCCUGGAUUUAAGGUUGAUUUAGGGGUCCAGCAGGACCACUCAUGGACAAAAGUCCCAGUGCUGAAGGAAUCUAGGCACAGGUUUCCAAAGACAUGGAACAUGGCAGACCUUCUUGCACCAUCUGAUACAAGCCUCAUCCUUUACCUGGUGUUGGAUGCUCACUGUCACGACACAAAAAUCCUGUUUGAAUUCUACAUGGAGUAUGAAUGGUUCAGCUCUUGUCAGCAGGAGUCAAUAUGCAAUUUACACUCAUUUACAAUUAAACUCCAUAAGAAACUCUAUCACACUUUCUUUUCCAUGCUAAGGCAUAUAAAUUAGCAAUCAACAAAAAGAUGCUGAAACUUUUGAGAUAUAAGUUACCAGCACUGUCUGGUUGGGCUUCGACAUGCCCCUGAGUUCUCUGCUGUCCAGAAGCUGUAAAUUCAUCAGCUCUAUCAUGGCCUCAAAUCAAACGGACUCCUUGGAUGGCUGCUAAUCUAAGAUCACAGGUAGAAUGGUCAAUUUGGCUUUUUAGGAAUUUUUUCCUUCCUGCAUAGCACUGUUGUGAGAAUGCAUGGAAUGCAGUAUACAUUAUAAAUAA